This 253-nucleotide ribosomal RNA is filed under the name uncultured bacterium. Its description in RNAcentral is "partial 16S ribosomal RNA". It matches the Rfam family "Bacterial small subunit ribosomal RNA", at positions 524 to 776 of the family's 1533-position model. The record is from RNAcentral.
UACGGGGGGAGCAAGCGUUGUUCGGAUUUACUGGGUGUAAAGGGUUCGUAGGCGGUGCGGCAAGUUGGGAGUGAAAUCUCUGGGCUUAACCCAGAGGCUGCUUCCAAAACUGCUGUGCUUGAGUGUGGGAGAGGCGCGUGGAAUUGCAGGUGUAGCGGUGAAAUGCGUAGAUAUCUGCAGGAACACCCGUGGCGAAAGCGGCGAGCUGGAUCACUACUGACGCUGAGGAACGAAAGCUAGGGGAGCAAACAGG